Molecule: ribosomal RNA, 429 nt
Filed under: Chloroflexota bacterium
Lineage: Bacteria; Bacillati; Chloroflexota
Description: Chloroflexi bacterium partial 16S ribosomal RNA
Rfam family: Bacterial small subunit ribosomal RNA
Source: RNAcentral
UGGGGAAUAUUGCACAAUGGGCGCAAGCCUGAUGCAGCCAUGCCGCGUGUAUGAAGAAGGCCUUCGGGUUGUAAAGUACUUUCAGUCGGGAGGAAGGUGGUAAGGUUAAUAACCUUAUCAAUUGACGUUACCGACAGAAGAAGCACCGGCUAACUCCGUGCCAGCAGCCGCGGUAAUACGGAGGGUGCAAGCAUUAAUCGGAAUUACUGGGCGUAAAGCGCACGCAGGCGGUCUGUCAAGUCGGAUGUGAAAUCCCCGGGCUCAACCUGGGAACUGCAUCUGAUACUGGCAAGCUUGAGUCUCGUAGAGGGGGGUAGAAUUCCAGGUGUAGCGGUGAAAUGCGUAGAGAUCUGGAGGAAUACCGGUGGCGAAGGCGGCCCCCUGGACGAAGACUGACGCUCAGGUGCGAAAGCGUGGGGAGCAAACAGG